This 720-nucleotide ribosomal RNA is filed under the name Burkholderia cenocepacia. RNAcentral describes it as "bacterial LSU rRNA". It matches the Rfam family "Bacterial large subunit ribosomal RNA", at positions 2216 to 2925 of the family's 2925-position model. The record is from RNAcentral. Lineage: Bacteria; Pseudomonadati; Pseudomonadota; Betaproteobacteria; Burkholderiales; Burkholderiaceae.
GAGGUUCUAACCUUGGCCCGUGAUCCGGGUCGGGGACAGUGCAUGGUAGGCAGUUUGACUGGGGCGGUCUCCUCCCAAAGCGUAACGGAGGAGUACGAAGGUACGCUAGGUACGGUCGGAAAUCGUGCUGAUAGUGCAAUGGCAUAAGCGUGCUUAACUGCGAGACCGACAAGUCGAGCAGGUGCGAAAGCAGGUCAUAGUGAUCCGGUGGUUCUGUAUGGAAGGGCCAUCGCUCAACGGAUAAAAGGUACUCUGGGGAUAACAGGCUGAUACCGCCCAAGAGUUCAUAUCGACGGCGGUGUUUGGCACCUCGAUGUCGGCUCAUCUCAUCCUGGGGCUGUAGCCGGUCCCAAGGGUAUGGCUGUUCGCCAUUUAAAGAGGUACGUGAGCUGGGUUUAAAACGUCGUGAGACAGUUUGGUCCCUAUCUGCCGUGGGCGUUGGAUAUUUGAAGGGGCUGCUCCUAGUACGAGAGGACCGGAGUGGACGAACCUCUGGUGUACCGGUUGUCACGCCAGUGGCAUCGCCGGGUAGCUAUGUUCGGAAGAGAUAACCGCUGAAAGCAUCUAAGCGGGAAACUCGCCUUAAGAUGAGAUAUCCCUGGGGACUAGAUCCCCUUGAAGGGUCGUUCGAGACCAGGACGUUGAUAGGUCAGGUGUGUAAGCGCAGUAAUGCGUUCAGCUAACUGAUACUAAUUGCCCGUAAGGCUUGAUCCUAUAACA